Molecule: ribosomal RNA, 216 nt
Filed under: Glomeromycotina sp.
Lineage: Eukaryota; Fungi; Glomeromycota
Description: partial small subunit ribosomal RNA
Rfam family: Eukaryotic small subunit ribosomal RNA (bases 40-216)
Source: RNAcentral
GGGUCAGUAGGUUGGUCGUGCCACCGGUACGUACUGGUCUCACUGAUUCCUCCUUCCUGAAGAACCGUAAUGCCAUUAAUCUGGUGUUGCGGGUAAACAGGACUGUUACUUUGAAAAAAUUAGAGUGUUUAAAGCAAGCUAACGCUUGAAUACAUUAGCAUGGAAUAAUGAAAUAGGACGAUCGAUCCUAUUUUGUUGGUUUCUAGGAUUGACGUA